RNAcentral lists this ribosomal RNA (476 nucleotides) under uncultured bacterium. Its description in RNAcentral is "SSU rRNA". It matches the Rfam family "Bacterial small subunit ribosomal RNA", at positions 26 to 518 of the family's 1533-position model. The record is from RNAcentral.
AGGACGAACGCUGGCGGCGUGCUUAACACAUGCAAGUCGAGCGGAAAGGCCCUUCGGGGUACUCGAGCGGCGAACGGGUGAGUAACACGUGGGCAACCUGCCCUUAGCUCUGGGAUAGCUCCGGGAAACCGGAAUUAAUACCGGAUAUGACCUAGGCCGACAUCGGCUGUGGUGGAAAGUUUUUCGGCUAGGGAUGGACUCGCGGCCUAUCAGCUAGUUGGUGGGGUAAUGGCCUACCAAGGCGACGACGGGUAGCCGGCCUGAGAGGGCGACCGGCCACACUGGGACUGAGACACGGCCCAGACUCCUACGGGAGGCAGCAGUGGGGAAUCUUGCGCAAUGGGCGAAAGCCUGACGCAGCGACGCCGCGUGGGGGAUGAAGGCCUUCGGGUUGUAAACUCCUGUCGAGGGGGAGGAAGGGGCAACCGUUGACCGAUCCCUGGAGGAGCACGGGCUAAGUUCGCGCCAGCAGCCGC